RNAcentral lists this ribosomal RNA (188 nucleotides) under uncultured bacterium. RNAcentral describes it as "partial 16S ribosomal RNA". It matches the Rfam family "Bacterial small subunit ribosomal RNA", at positions 1306 to 1500 of the family's 1533-position model. The record is from RNAcentral.
UGCAACUCGACUCCAUGAAGCUGGAUUCGCUAGUAAUCGCGCAUCAGCCAUGGCGCGGUGAAUACGUUCCCGGGCCCUUGUACACACCGCCCGUCAAGCCAUGGGAGCUGGGGGUGCCUGAAGUUCGUGACCGCAAGGAUCGACCUAGGGCAAAACCGGUGACUGGGGCUAAGUCGUAACAAGGUAAC